AGUAGCUACCUGGAGCUCACAGAGUGAAGACUGGGUUCCCAGAAAGGGGAAGGAGUUCUAGUACUAUACCAUGCUCGAAGGGCCUGAGGUAAGGGCAAACCAGGCCUUAACAUAGAUGGCCUGAUUCACCCCUGCCUUGCCCUUUGAGUGGCCAUUCCCAUCUGCGAAGAGUGAGUGUAAAGUGUCCCUGCCAAUUCAAUGCCUUUUCCAAACACUGACCAAUUCUCACUACACUCCAGUGAGGCAGAAGGAUUUGUGCCAAAAAAGGACUCCAUUUUACCUCCAUGUGAUUGCAGCCGGGCUUAGAAUGAUGCUUGGAGAUCUCUGCAUGCUCAUCAGAUUUCUCCAAAGCCAAUGCUGGAAAGGAGAUCAGAUGUCUGCUCUGUGCCUCGUGACAUCCUUUGUGACAUGAGCCAUUAUGAUCAUACUUCAACCUUUCUGCAUGUUGUAUUAAGAGAGUGGCACUCACCCCUCGGUGAGUCUAGCAUAGUUCAACAAUCCAUCUGUAUCAGACACCUUUAUUUUAAAAGCUUUCCUCUGCCACUCCCUUCCCCACAGGGAACUGCAAUCUUCUUCACCCUUUAUUUUUAAGAACAGGGUUACUAUUUUUUGUCUUUAUUUCUGGUAUCAAUGUUAACUCAGCCAUGGCACCACAAGCUGUAUUCACAAUAACACUCCAAGCUAAAAGGGUUAGGCCCAGUCAGUACUCAGACAGGUGCGCUCUAGGGGAAGCUAGGAGUAGUGGAAUUGGUAGUUCAGAAAACGGCUGUAAGCUAGUUGACUAGGCCAUCUUGUCCAACAAAAAUGGUCCUUUGCCAAAGUGUAGCCACUAGAGCUGUGUGGAGGACAGAAAUGUAAUUGCACAAAGGAUUUCAAAAUUGGGCUUCAUUCAAAAAUUUCAAAAUGCUCAGAGAAAAUUCUGAUCUUGUUUUGGAACAAUCAAAAUAUUUUGUUUUGAUGCUGACUUUUUAAAAUUUUGUAUUAGAAUAGAUCAUGCAAAAUUUUUAAAAUUUCAAAAUGAAAAACUGAAAUCUUUAGUUCCAAAAAUGUUAAAAUGGGAAUUUCAACAUUGUCAGAACUUUUAAUUGCCGUUUUUUCUCUGAAACAAAAUUCUGGCAAAACUAACACAAUUUUGUGAGAUACCAUGUGGGUGAGGUAAUUUCUUUUAUUGAACAAUUUCUGUUGGUGAGAGAGACAAGCUUUUAGG
Dermochelys coriacea (leatherback sea turtle) is the source of this 1207-nucleotide long non-coding RNA. RefSeq lists it as uncharacterized. The transcript has 5 exons. The record is from RefSeq and is a predicted model, not a curated record. Lineage: Eukaryota; Metazoa; Chordata; Testudines; Dermochelyidae.